Molecule: ribosomal RNA, 253 nt
Filed under: uncultured bacterium
Lineage: Bacteria
Description: partial 16S ribosomal RNA
Rfam family: Bacterial small subunit ribosomal RNA
Source: RNAcentral
UACGUAGGGGGCAAGCGUUGUCCGGAAUCAUUGGGCGUAAAGAGCGUGUAGGCGGCCCGAUAAGUCCGCCGUGAAAGCCCAGGGCUCAACCCUGGGAUGCCGGUGGAUACUGUCGGGCUAGAGUGCGGAAGAGGCGAGUGGAAUUCCUGGUGUAGCGGUGAAAUGCGCAGAUAUCAGGAGGAACACCUAUUGCGAAGGCAGCCCGCUGGGCCACACCUGACGCUGAGGAGCGAAAGCCAGGGGAGCAAACGGG